AUACUUCUCCCCUGGACCUUGUUCCCAGGCUCCGUGUGAAGCUGAACACUCCGCAUGAUCUCCCUGCCACCAUAGCAAGCUAUGAAGUUCAUUACACAUGCAGUUAAAAUAUCUGCAAACAAUCCUUUGUAUCAAGCUCUGCUUUCAGGGAAACCCAGAUUAAAAUAGAGAUACCAAGAGCAACUUCAGAAAGCUAUCAGGAUAGAUUUUGGAAAUGGUAAUAAGGACAAAUUGCUGAUGAUGACUGAGGUAGAUAGACAUCAUUCCUAGCCCACAGUAGCAUCACAAUGACAAAGAAUCUCACUGGAUUUGGGCUGAACUGAGAUCCUGGUGGAAGGAGAAGCAAGGAAUUGCACUGGAGCUGUGGCACUUGGAUGAAAUGGAGCUGACAGUAAUUCUAAAAUUAUGGAGUUGCUUAUUUUUAUUUUCUAGUUUGGAAGCCUUGAAAAAUGAAAAUAAACUCAAUUUAGUCAAUUUUUAACUCAAGAUAUACCUUAAAACCAGAGGCCUUCUAUGGUAAGGAAAACCCUUGUCUCCUACCACUGUGGGGGCAGAUUGUGCCAAAAAGUCUGCAUGCCUGUGAUUUAAUUAAAAGGGUGGAGAAGCUGCAAAGAAGAAUCAGCACAUGAUCUCAAAAGUCACCUAUAUAAAAGACAUCUCUUGCAAGGCAAAGAACAAGACUCUUGGUCCUGACAUGGAGACAUUUAGAUGGACAAGCUGGAGAGUCUUGAAAUCUCAGAUUGCCCAGAAUCCUAAGAGCCCAAUUGAGAAGCACCCUCAUUCUUGCUGUCAGAAUCAUGUUUACCAGUACUGCAAAGACCUCACCUGAGACAUACUCACACAAGAGAACUUUUAUCCUUCCUAAUAUCUACUCCUGCUACUCUAAAUGGCUGAGGCAAGCUAAGAUAAUUUACUUUGCUUUUAGUGGGACACACUUAUGUGAUUAACUGUUCCAUCCAUGAAUAGUUAUGUUACUGCAAAACAUCCUGGCAUAAAAAAUGUUUCCAUGAACACUCUUGCCAUGUGAUCUGUUCAAUCACUAAAAGUCAUGACACAAAAAUGGCAGACUAACAGAGGUUGAACUAGCAUGUGAAAAUGUCUUGUGGUACUGGCACUAUGUGGGUGGCAGAGAAGAUGCAAAUUUGAGAGAUAUCAAAACACAAAUGGAUCUGAUGAAAAUUCUUUCAAAUUUUUAAACUUACAUAUAAAAGAAAUUUGAUAGAGGUUUUCAUGUAUUUGAUAACAAUCCUAAAAAUAACAUAACAUUAUGAAUAAAUUAUAUAACUGAAAGAUAUGUUUCUAAUCUACCACUAAUAAAAGUA
Homo sapiens (human) is the source of this 1322-nucleotide long non-coding RNA. Ensembl annotates it as MMADHC divergent transcript. Its record names the gene MMADHC-DT. Lineage: Eukaryota; Metazoa; Chordata; Mammalia; Primates; Hominidae. The record is from Ensembl.